Molecule: non-coding RNA, 31 nt
Filed under: Rattus norvegicus (Norway rat)
Lineage: Eukaryota; Metazoa; Chordata; Mammalia; Rodentia; Muridae
Source: RNAcentral
UGCUCAGAGUCUUUGAAGAAUCCAUAUUCAG